Molecule: small RNA, 847 nt
Filed under: Pongo abelii (Sumatran orangutan)
Lineage: Eukaryota; Metazoa; Chordata; Mammalia; Primates; Hominidae
Description: processed transcript
Source: RNAcentral
UGGAGCCCAGCCUGCUCACCGGAGAGGGUGGCUACUACCUGACCAGCCUCUCUGCCAGCCUGGCCCUGCUGAGUGGCCUGGGUCAGGCCCACACACUCCCACUGAGCCCUGCGCAGGAGCUACGGCGCUCCCUCAGCCUCUGGGAGCAGCGCCGCCUGCCUGCCACCCAGUGCUUUCAGGUAAUAGGCCCUCCACCGUGUCCUCAGAGCCAGACACCAUCCCCGCCUUUCACCUUCCUGUCCCUGGUGAAGAGUCCAGACUCUGUAGCCAGAUCCUGGGUUCUAAUCCUGGCUCUGCCACUGGGUUAUGGUGACUUGGGCAAGUUACUUGACUACUUUGCACCUCAGUUUUCUCAUCAGUAAAAUGGGGUAAUAGGACCUGCCUCCUGGGGUUGAGGUGAAGAUUAAAUGAGUUAAUGCAGGAGAGUGCUUGGGGCACAAAGUACUCAUUAUCAAAGCUUCAUCUCAGGCUUGUGAGCUCCCCACUGGGCUGUCCUUGCACCUGCGGCUGUGGCCCACAAGCUGACCCCUGGAGCUCACAGAGCUUUUGCUGCUUGGUUCUCCCACUGGAUUUCCACCUCCCCACCCUGUCCCUGCACAGCCCAGAAAGCUGAUGGCUCAGCUUUGGAGCCAGAUGCAUGCCAGCCAGGGCUGAGUACUUGUUUUUGCUUCUCCUCCUGCAUAGUACCUCCUCCGAGUAGCCUAUCAGGAUCCCAGCAGUGGCUGCACCUCCAAGACCCUGGCCGUGCCCCCAGAGGCCUCAAUCGCCACCCUGAACCAGCUCUGUGCCACCAAGUUCCGAGUGACCCAGCCCAACACUUUUGGCCUCUUCCUGUACAAGGAGCAGG